This is a long non-coding RNA of Poecilia latipinna (sailfin molly), 470 nucleotides long. RefSeq lists it as uncharacterized. The transcript has 4 exons. NCBI's taxonomy places the organism in Eukaryota, Metazoa, Chordata, Actinopteri, Cyprinodontiformes, Poeciliidae. The record is from RefSeq and is a predicted model, not a curated record.
CCUCUAGUGGCUGCUGAGGAGUACUGCAGGUUUUAGUGGUUUAACAGGGAGUGAGGCCCUCUAGUGGCCGCUGUGCAGUACUGCAGGUUUUAGUGGUUUAACAGGGAGUGAGGCCCUCUAGUGGCUGCUGUGGAGUACUGCAGGUUUUAGUGGUUUAACAGGGAGUGAGGCCCUCUAGUGGCUGCUGUGGAGUACUGCAGGUUUUAGUGGUUUAACAGGGAGUGAGGCCCUCUAGUGGCUGCUGUGGAGAACUGCAGGUUUUAGUGGUUUAACAGGGAGUGAGGCCCUCUAGUGGCUGCUGUGGAGUACUGCAGGUUUUAGUGGUUUAACAGGGAGUGAGGCCCUCUAGUGGCUGCUGUGGAGUACUGCAGGUUUUAGUGGUUUAACAGGGAGUGAGGCCCUCUAGUGGCUGCUGUGGAGUACUGCAGGUUUUAGUGUUUUAACAGGGAGUGAGGCCCUCUAGUGGCUGC